Molecule: ribosomal RNA, 119 nt
Filed under: Egeria densa
Lineage: Eukaryota; Viridiplantae; Streptophyta; Magnoliopsida; Alismatales; Hydrocharitaceae
Also listed under: 1 other name
Description: 5.8S ribosomal RNA
Rfam family: 5.8S ribosomal RNA
About the family: 5.8S ribosomal RNA (5.8S rRNA) is a component of the large subunit of the eukaryotic ribosome. It is transcribed by RNA polymerase I as part of the 45S precursor that also contains 18S and 28S rRNA. Functionally, it is thought that 5.8S rRNA may be involved in ribosome translocation.
Source: RNAcentral
GACUCUCGGCAACGGAUAUCUAGGCUCUCGCAUCGAUGAAGAACGUAGCAAAAUGCGAUACUUGGUGUGAAUUGCAGAAUCCCGUGAACCAUCGAGUCUUUGAACGCAAGUUGCGCCCG